AUAAUUAUAUUUAAAUUAUUAGAAUUAUUUUAUCUAUGUAUUUGUUUAUUUAUUUAUGCCGUUCACUCGUCAUAUAAAGACGUCAGCCCUUCUUUAUCAAUAUUUAUUAAUAUAUAUAAAAAUAUUAACAAUGUGUCAAAAAGUCGUUUUCCCAAUAAACAAGUGUUUCUCAAAUAACACAUUGAAGCCCAUGUAUUCUCUCGGUUAUGAAACCCAAACGAUAAGCGUCCUCAAAAUACGAUCUAUUUAACGUUAGGGCCUUUCGAUUCUUUACCGUUCACCGUGGAGGCUGCGCGCGCACAGCUGCGCGGGCACGUCUUCAGUGAUGGAUGAAGACCAGCGGCAGCCAUAUUGGUUGUAGUCCACAAUUAUUGGGAUGAAAUAUUAAGACCAUGUAAAUAAGAACUGCAUCGGCAGUCCGUGGCAUCUUGAAGCUGAAACAGGAAGACCCCUGGACUCCAUCAAAAAAAUACGGCAAUUAAUGAACCAAUCAGACGCUCCGGAACGCCACAACAACAUCUCGUCUGAACAAAGACAAAGAGGGCCUUUGAGGAGGGGCGAGCAAGCACAGAAGGAGGUAGGCAUUUCACGGAGAGGUCGAGAAAGGCUCUUUUGUCAUAUUCGAAUGCAUGGGUAUAUUGGUAUGGAACACACAUUAUACAGGAUGGCUCGAAGCAGAAGACAGAAUGUGCCCGUACAAGUCCCAUUCGAUCUUGCCGGCCUGAAUUCCUGCGUAAGAUGAGCAUGUGAACUUGGUCU
Molecule: long non-coding RNA, 759 nt
Organism: Gadus macrocephalus (Pacific cod)
Lineage: Eukaryota; Metazoa; Chordata; Actinopteri; Gadiformes; Gadidae
Exons: 2
Source: RefSeq, a predicted model, not a curated record